This 253-nucleotide ribosomal RNA is filed under the name uncultured bacterium. RNAcentral's name for it is "partial 16S ribosomal RNA". It matches the Rfam family "Bacterial small subunit ribosomal RNA", at positions 524 to 776 of the family's 1533-position model. The record is from RNAcentral.
UACGUAGGGUGCAAGCGUUGUCCGGAAUUAUUGGGCGUAAAGGGCGCGUAGGCGGUGCGGUAAGUCACCUGUGAAAACUCUGGGCUCAACUCAGAGCCUGCAGGCGAAACUGCCGUGCUUGAGUGUGGGAGAGGUGCGUGGAAUUCCCGGUGUAGCGGUGAAAUUCGUAGAUAUCGGGAGGAAUACCAGUGGCGAAGGCGGCGACCUGGGCCAAUACUGACGCUGAGGUGCGAAAGCGUGGGGAGCAAACAGG